This 687-nucleotide ribosomal RNA is filed under the name Achillea multifida. RNAcentral's name for it is "eukaryotic LSU rRNA". The stretch from base 267 to 422 matches the Rfam family "5.8S ribosomal RNA". Lineage: Eukaryota; Viridiplantae; Streptophyta; Magnoliopsida; Asterales; Asteraceae. The record is from RNAcentral.
GGGUCAGAACGCGGGGGGGAAAAUACGACCUGCGAACACGUAAAAACAACCGAGUGUUGCGUGGGUUAAGCAAUUGUCUCUAAAUGGUUCUUCUUUGUUGAUGUGNAUUUACUUGUGUUCCUCUUUAAGAUUCCUGAAUGUUUCAUUGACGCAAUAACAAUCCUCGGCACAAUGUGUGCCAAGGAAAACUAAACUUGCCAAGGAUUGUUUCAUGUUGUGCCGUUCGCGGUGUGCUCAUGGGAUGUGGCUUCUUUUUAAUUACAAACGAUUCUGGGCAACGGAUAUCUUGGCUCAUGCAUCGAUGAAGAACGUAGCAAAAUGCGAUACUUGGUGUGAAUUGCAGAAUCCCGUGAACCAUCGAGUUUUUGAACGCAAGUUGCGCCCGAAGCCUUUUGGUCGAGGGCACGUCUGCCUGGGCGUCACGUAUUGCGUCACCCCCAACAAAUCUCUGUUGGGGGCGGAUAUUGGUCUCCCGUGCUCACGGUGUGGUUGACCAAAAUAUGAGUUCCUUCGAUGGACACACGAACUAGUGGUGGUCGUAAAAACUCUCGUUCUUUGUUCUGUGUUAGUAGCAAGGAAAAAAUUAUCAAAUACUCAAAUGUGUUGUGUUAGGAUGACGCUUUGACGGCGACCCCAGGUCAGGCGGGAAUUAUCCGCUGAGUUUAAGAAUAAAAAUAAGAGAGGAAA